Molecule: ribosomal RNA, 120 nt
Organism: Cyphellophora europaea CBS 101466
Lineage: Eukaryota; Fungi; Ascomycota; Eurotiomycetes; Chaetothyriales; Cyphellophoraceae
Source: Rfam
GCAAUCGACCAUAGAACAGGCAAUGCACCGGAUCCCGUCUGAUCUCCGCAAGUGAACGCCUGUGUCGCUGGAUCAGUAGUUGAGUGGGUGACCAUCAGCGAAUCCCCAGUGUUGAUUGUU